AGUUAAAUGAUAUUCAAACAAUUUGUUAUAAAGAAAAGAGUUUAUAUCAAAUUAUAGAUGAAACGAAACUCUAUGAAACAAACGGAUUUUCAAGAUAAUUUCUUUUUCUACUUAAAAAAGAGGUUCAAAAUAUCAGAACGAAAAUGUACAAGAGACAUAUAUCGAUCAUGCAUGUAUUCAUACAUCACUUUCAAACGGUCCAUUUCAUCCUAUAAACUACAAAGGAUCCCCGUUAAUUUUUUUCUCGUUCUACUUCCAAGUUAAGAUUAAUAAUUAAUAAAGAAUAAUCUCCGGUAAUCUCUUUCUUUUAUCAUGGAAUUUAGAACAUUUUUUGCCGGCGAUUCUCGAUAAAAAAAGACUUUACAACGCGCCACAGACGGGAUUACUUUUACGAUCGCGCAUACCAGAAUCAGCCUAGCCGUCAAUUGGCCUUUUUUUUUUCCUUUUCGUCUGUCCGAAACUGGGUCAUAGUUUCGUUCGCGGAGCUAGGGCAAUAGAGGCCUAGGAACCUUUACCUAGUUACGCUUUCGAGAAUUGGGAUGACACCACGAGUUUUGAGUUUGAUCGUUGCCCAAAUUUCUGCCCCCCCCUCGUUGAUUCUGGUGUACCCAAAUCCGGAACCUGGUUCGUUUCGAGGGGGGGCCCCCCCCCACGCUACACGGAAUGUCCUCAUUCUUUUUGAGGCCUCGGGGCCUCGAGGGCCGCGUGACUUCCUCAACGUAACAACUGGGAACCGCGGCGACGGCCCCACGUGAAGCUUCCAAUUCGUCCCUUCGAAUUCCGUGGCUAAUUUCACGAGCUCGAAUCGAAGUUAAAGGGAAAGAGUUUGGUGUCGUAAUAUCGAGUGUUGAAGAAGGUUUGAAUUUUUGUGAGUAAAGUUUGUAAAGUUGAUUUGAUUCGAGUCGGUAAUUUUUUUAUCGAUAUCUUUUCAUUUUUUCAAGGAUAGGAAAAAAAGUGAUUUGCAUGAUUAAUGCAUUUUUAAAAGUUCAUAAAUAAAUUCACUUUUGUUUAUAAAUAACUAUGUUAAAAAUGGAUCCCGGUUGUUUCAUUGAAGUAACAGGCGGUUAUUUCCAUCCAUCCAACUUUCUGUGUAUCGCUUCUAACUCAUGCGGAACCUAUUUGUCCAUUUUCUUUACUUUUCUUAUUUGAGCCUCUAGUGACGAAUAAUCGUAGAAUGGCUUACUUUUACUUGAAACGAUUAUUUCUCUCCACGCUUGUCGUAGAUUAUUUUUUACCAUAUCUUUUAAAAUAUUACUACUAUUCGACCGAUUAUUAUAACCAUAUAUAUUUAAAAUUUUCGAAUAUCAUACAUACUGGAUUAUUUAACGAGUUUAUUAGAUACUUUCCCGAUAUAUUAUAUAUAUUAUAAAAGAAAACGUCGUAAACGUCUUUCAUAAAAAAAAAAAACCUAACCUACGUUACAGGAAAUAUUAAAUCUGCAUUUGCAAAACAUUGCUGUUCCUCCGUGUACACACACAUAUAUAUACGUAUAUAUAUAUAUAUAUAUAUGUAUAACACGCGACACGCGCGCCCGUCAAAUUCUGUAUUGUGGGGCGUCAGCCUCGAAACACAACGAGUUCGCCGUUCACCGGCGAUCAUACCGGCGCUCGUCUCGGCGUGAUAAACAAUUACGAAACGGAUUGUUAAAAAAGGAAGCGAUACGGCUCGCGCAUAUUUAUGUAACAACCGCGCAGGCUCAGCAAUGGCCACGAGCGUGUAACGGCAACGCGAGUAAAGUUUUCUCGCGAGCCCGUGUGCGCGUAACAUCCGUAUCGACGUUCCAAGUGGUGUGCACGCGCCCACCCAGGUUUGCCAUCUCUACCUGUUCCUCUCGUUCCUUGCACACCUGUACGCUAUCACGUACGCCUUUUGGUCACGCGUGUGUGUCACACUUAACGCCUAUCUCUAGUCAUCGAGCAAUGUGGUAGGAUCCACGGGUAUAUACCACGAGCAAAAGUUUCACUCGGUCUUCGGCCCCGACUUCUCCCUAUACGUUCUUUUCUAUACGUUUAUGCGCGCGCACAAACGUAACGUAAUGUACGGACGCCUGUAAACGAGGUUGUGCGUUUGUGAAAUCGUACGUGUGAUGUCGGCACAGGUAUGCGCAUGCGUAUACAUAUAGGUUGGAGGCUCGUACGCGUGCUACCGGUCGUUUAAUCGGAGAACGGGCAGGCAAGUCCUUGGCAAGGCCGAUCGAGACAUCAUCCAGCCACCUUUUUCCAAUUAGCGGACUUCUGGUAAUCGGCUACCGACUUCCUACGAACAAACGCACGCGUCAGACGCGGUGCGCCGUGUUUGCGGAUUGCCUCAUCCUCUUUCGAGUAUACGAGUGGGAGGUAUGCGUUGCAGAUGUUUUCGUCGCUUUCUUGCUUCCCGUGCAGUUUUUAUUCCGCGUGAAAUUUUCGUUUCCUCCAUCUCGAUCUAUUUAUACGUAUAUUUUCGAUGGUACUUUUUUUUUACACCCGAUAAUAAUAGUUACGAUUUACGAAUAAUUUUUUUUUUCUUUUUCUUUUCCACUCGUUUCAGUAGCUUAAUUUCUCCCUCGAGAGAGAGAGAGAGAGAAUUGCGCAACGUCGACCUUGAAGGACAAUUAUCCCGGCGAAGAAGGAAAUUUUUCUUAAAGCUGGAGCGAUGAGGAAGAGGGCCGACAGAGGUCUCAUUACAACCGUGUUUACAUCUUGGACGUUCGGGCACCAGGAGGCGUGUCGAAUCUCACGUGGCAAAAUAUUUUCGGUGGCGUUGCAUGGGAACACCGCAGGUGGGUCGGGCGUACGGAAUCGCGCCUCGCAAUAUUUAGACUCGUACUACUUAACCGUGUAUAAAGGGGGCCGUGUUGCGAGACGACCGAUUAUUCACGGCCCUUUUCUUCUUUUCUUCGCUUUUCCGGAAUCCCGGAAGAGGAGACCCUUUUCCCGAGUUCGUUGCACCGACAAUACGGAAGUCUCGGCAAAUUUCGUAGAUACCUACUUUAGGCCGCGUACACAAACUGCUACUUCUAUUCAUCGAGGACACGAGGGCCAAACUCGAGAAAAAUCCUAUUUGUGAAUCGCUUGCUUGAAGGAAACGAUGAAGAAGAUGUUGCGAACUUGGAGCUUCGUAACACGUGGUGGCGCGUAAACGAUACAGGCAGGAAAAUUUUUAACGGGAAUCCUUAAACGUUUAAAACGUUACGCGUGUCGUAUUUUCGACGCGCGACCAUCGUAAAUUUUCCAAAGUUUCAAUAAUAAAUAAAUAUCGGCCCCGGCUGCGACACACGUGUUCCUUCGAGAUCCUGGGCACGUUCCUGUUGUCGGAACGUAGUCAGUCGUGCCGUCCACGUGUCAUCUGUCUCCUCUUUGUUCCCGAAUGUUCACGUUCCGAACAAUGUAUGCAAUUUAUCAUUUCAUGAAUAGAUGGCACAAAAGUGGCAGGUAUCGAGUGAAUAUUUCGAACGAAGGAUUUAAUCUUGAGCGAAACAAUAGAGAAGAAGCGGUAAAAGGGAUAAUAAACAUUGUUCGUACUUAAACACUUUCUUAAUGUGCGCAUUACCCUAUCGAUAAAUUAUUUAAUCUCCAAUUUAUUAUUUCUUAAAUGGCAAUUUAUUUUAUAUGUAU
This is a long non-coding RNA of Apis mellifera (honey bee), 3593 nucleotides long. RefSeq lists it as uncharacterized. The transcript is spliced from 4 exons. The record is from RefSeq and is a predicted model, not a curated record. Lineage: Eukaryota; Metazoa; Arthropoda; Insecta; Hymenoptera; Apidae.